CCUACGGGUGGCAGCAGUGGGGAAUAUUGCACAAUGGGGGAAACCCUGAUGCAGCGACGCCGCGUGAGUGAAGAAGUAAUUCGUUACGUAAAGCUCUAUCAGCAGGGAAGAAACACUGACCUUACGGUCAGCAGACGGUACCUGAGUAAGAAGCCCCGGCUAACUACGUGCCAGCAGCCGCGGUAAUACGUAGGGGGCAAGCGUUAUCCGGAUUUACUGGGUGUAAAGGGAGCGUAGACGGUGAGGCAAGUCAGGAGUGAAAUGCCGCAGCUUAACUGCGGAACUGCGUUGGAAACUGGCGAGCUAGAGUGCAGGAGAGGUAAGCGGAAUUCCUAGUGUAGCGGUGAAAUGCGUAGAUAUUAGGAGGAACACCGGUGGCGAAGGCGGCUUACUGGACCGUAACUGACGUUGAGGCUCGAAAGCGUGGGGAGCAAACAGGAUUAGAUACCCCAGUAGUC
Molecule: ribosomal RNA, 458 nt
Filed under: uncultured bacterium
Lineage: Bacteria
Description: partial 16S ribosomal RNA
Rfam family: Bacterial small subunit ribosomal RNA
Source: RNAcentral